GUGAAUCAUCGAAUUUUUGAACGCAAAUUGCACUCUUUGGUAUUCCGGAGAGUAUGCAUGUUUGAGGGUCAGUUUAAAUAAACAUAGGUGUGGUUGCUGCCUUUCGCGGUGACGCACCGGAUGUGGGCCGUCUUGUCUUCGGUUAAGUGACCUAAAAUUUUGCGUGGUUUUUUUCGAACGUAUUUAAAUGUUUUUAGGUACGUUUGUGUGAUCGAAUAAUUGGUGUGGUCAUCCUCAUGAUUCG
Molecule: unclassified non-coding RNA, 244 nt
Filed under: Glomeraceae sp.
Lineage: Eukaryota; Fungi; Glomeromycota; Glomeromycetes; Glomerales; Glomeraceae
Description: partial contains 5.8S ribosomal RNA and internal transcribed spacer 2
Rfam family: 5.8S ribosomal RNA (bases 1-71)
Source: RNAcentral